Molecule: ribosomal RNA, 493 nt
Filed under: uncultured bacterium
Lineage: Bacteria
Description: bacterial SSU rRNA
Rfam family: Bacterial small subunit ribosomal RNA
Source: RNAcentral
AAAGGAAUAGACGGGGGCCCGCACAAGCGGCGGAGCAUGCGGAUUAAUUCGAUGCAACGCGAAGAACCUUACCUGGGUUUGACAUGCACGGAAAUCCGGCAGAGAUGUCGGGUCCGUAAGGGCCGUGCACAGGUGGUGCAUGGCUGUCGUCAGCUCGUGUCGUGAGAUGUUGGGUUAAGUCCCGCAACGAGCGCAACCCUCGUUCCAUGUUGCCAGCACGUAAUGGUGGGGACUCAUGGGAGACUGCCGGGGUCAACUCGGAGGAAGGUGGGGAUGACGUCAAGUCAUCAUGCCCCUUAAGUCCAGGGCUUCACGCAUGCUACAAUGGCCGGUACAAUGGGCUGCGAUACCGCAAGGUGGAGCGAAUCCCAAAAAGCCGGUCUCAGUUCGGAUCGGGGUCUGCAACUCGACCCCGUGAAGUCGGAGUCGCUAGUAAUCGCAGAUCAGCAACGCUGCGGUGAAUACGUUCCCGGGCCUUGUACACACCGCCCGU